This is a non-coding RNA of Salmo salar (Atlantic salmon), 54 nucleotides long. The record is from Rfam. Lineage: Eukaryota; Metazoa; Chordata; Actinopteri; Salmoniformes; Salmonidae.
AAUGCACCAAUUUGUAAGUCGCUCUGGAUAAGAGCGUCUGCUAAAUGAUGAAAA